AGGUGCUGAUCAAUUCACAGUCUCCCUGGAGGUGUUAGCCCCCCCCCCAUGUCCAUCCAGCCACUCAUCGCUUCCUGCUCUUCCUUCUGGUUUCAGCUCCAUCCGUCUCUCCAUUAGCGCACCUGAAAUAACAGCGCUGGUGACAAAUGCUGCUGGGGAGGGGGGGGGGGUAAAAGAGGUGUGUGUGACGGAGGGAUGAGCUCUCUCUCUGUCUGCGGGGUUAAUUCACACAGCGAGCGGCGUUUCAGAGUGAAAGUGGAGCUGCUGACCCGCUGACCGGUGGCACAUGUGAAAAUUGACUGGCAGGGAUUACACCUGUGUGUGUGUUCACGUGUGUGUGUGUGUUUGUGUUCAUGUCUGCGUUAAAGCAGCUGUUUGUCACAUUCUCUGUCCUGCAGCAGUUAAUGCAGCUGCUGCAGCAUCUGGACAAAUGACAGUGUCACCUUUUCCAGAUUCAGAACAAGAAAACUUCAACUUUGUUUCACUGAUUUCCCCUUUAAUCAGUUAAAGGAAGAACUGAAGGAAAAAAAACGGACCUCAACAAUCCAGCUCAGUUUGUAUUGAUCAUAACAUUGAUCAAGUUUACCUCAAAGAUGUGAAACGUUGCUGAAAAGUGCACAUUUUUGUGUCAUAUUGUCACUAAAGUAUAGGGGUCUGAACAGAAAGGCCUAAACACAAAAAUAAUGUUUGCCUUCAAGCCUGUUUUCUAAGAUUUUAACCCUUUUUUUUGUCUGUUUGUGUUCUAGUUUUUCUAUUGUGCUCCACUUUUCAGUCACGUGGGGUGAGGCAGGAUGGGAUGAAGAGGUUUUUGACUGCGGAGUCUUGAAAACUGCAGUUUCCUGUUCUACCGGCAGGAGGCGCAAGCGGACAAGCGUAAAAGAUGUGAGCGGCUCGUAUGAACUUGGAGUCCAAACUGCACGGAGAAAAAUGACCGAUCUUUUAGUUUUGAGUGAUUCCUGAAAAUGCUUUAAAUUCAUUGAUGGAUUAAGACGAAAAUCCUGACAAAAUUUAAAAAGAAGAGAAAAACAAUGUUGAUUUGAAAAUUAAAGUCACACUUUUCUCAAGAAACUGGAUUAAAACUGAUCUUUAAUUGA
Molecule: non-coding RNA, 1094 nt
Organism: Oryzias latipes (Japanese medaka)
Lineage: Eukaryota; Metazoa; Chordata; Actinopteri; Beloniformes; Adrianichthyidae
Source: RefSeq, a predicted model, not a curated record